This 450-nucleotide ribosomal RNA is filed under the name uncultured bacterium. RNAcentral's name for it is "partial 16S ribosomal RNA". It matches the Rfam family "Bacterial small subunit ribosomal RNA", at positions 354 to 796 of the family's 1533-position model. The record is from RNAcentral.
GUGGGGAAUAUUGGACAAUGGGCGAAAGCCUGAUCCAGCCAUGCCGCGUGUGUGAAGAAGGUCUUCGGAUUGUAAAGCACUUUAAGUUGGGAGGAAGGGCAGUAAGUUAAUACCUUGCUGUUUUGACGUUACCGACAGAAUAAGCACCGGCUAACUUCGUGCCAGCAGCCGCGGUAAUACGAAGGGUGCAAGCGUUAAUCGGAAUUACUGGGCGUAAAGCGCGCGUAGGUGGUUUUGUAAGUUGGAGGUUAACGCCCCGGGCUAAACCUGGGAACUGCCUCCAAAACUGCAUGACUAGAGUACGGUAGAGGGUAGUGGAAUUUCCUGUGUAGCGGUGAAAUGCGUAGAUAUAGGAAGGAACACCAGUGGCGAAGGCGACUACCUGGACUGAUACUGACACUGAGGUGCGAAAGCGUGGGGAGCAAACAGGAUUAGAUACCCGAGUAGUCC